AUUUAUAUAGUUUAAAAAAUAUUACAUUUUCACUGUAAAGUUAGAAUUCUUUUCUUAUAAAUA
This 63-nucleotide transfer RNA is filed under the name Cerambycidae sp. 4 KM-2017. RNAcentral's name for it is "tRNA-Glu". It matches the Rfam family "tRNA". Rfam says of the family: Transfer RNA (tRNA) molecules are approximately 80 nucleotides in length. Their secondary structure includes four short double-helical elements and three loops (D, anti-codon, and T loops). The record is from RNAcentral. Lineage: Eukaryota; Metazoa; Arthropoda; Insecta; Coleoptera; Cerambycidae.